This 468-nucleotide ribosomal RNA is filed under the name uncultured bacterium. Its description in RNAcentral is "partial 16S ribosomal RNA". It matches the Rfam family "Bacterial small subunit ribosomal RNA", at positions 28 to 507 of the family's 1533-position model. The record is from RNAcentral.
GACGAACGCUGGCGGCGUGCUUAACACAUGCAAGUCGAACGGAAAGGCCCUGCUUUUGUGGGGUGCUCGAGUGGCGAACGGGGGAGUAACACGUGAGUAACCUGCCCUUGACUUUGGGAUAACUUCAGGAAACAGGGGCUAAUACCGGAUAGGAGCUCCUGCUGCAUGGGGGGGGUUGGAAAGUUUCGGCGGUAGGGGAUGGACUCGCGGCUUAUCAGCUGGUUGGUGGGGUAGUUGCUUACAAAGGUUUUGACGGGUAGCCGGCCUGGGAGGGUGACCGGCCACCUUGGGCCUGAGAUACGGCCCAGAAUCCAACGGGAGGCAGCAGUGGGGAAUAUUGCACAAUGGGCGGAAGCCUGAUGCAGCAACGCCGCGUGCGGGAUGACGGCCUUCGGGUUGUAAACCGCUUUCGACUGUGACGAAGCGUGAGUGACGGUAAUGGGUAAAGAAGCACCGGCUAACUACGUG